This 404-nucleotide long non-coding RNA is filed under the name Androctonus crassicauda. The record is from RNAcentral. Lineage: Eukaryota; Metazoa; Arthropoda; Arachnida; Scorpiones; Buthidae.
GAGAGAAUUAACCAAUUACAUUAUUUUGCAAAAAAUUCAAACAACAAUCGUCCAAAUAUGUUAAAUGUCCAUUAAGUCCAUGUAAAUAUUCGUAAUGUCCAUUGUGUACACCGUCAUUGUCCAUAUACUUCGUUGUUGUCGUCUUCCAUGCGUUGUCAUCAUCAUCCGUAUGCUAUCGUCCAUCGUCUCCAUCAGUUGGCCGUCCCGACAGGAUGAGUUGCUUUCCCAUCAUUCUGCUUACAUCUUUGGUCUUUUGUGUUCAUUGCCUAGAAAGUUCUUCUCUUCUCUUCUGUCUCUUUCUCUCCCUGAGUGUUGCUGUGUAACUGUGUCUAAUUAUUAAAAACGAUAAUUUUUGAAGGAAAUAAACGAGGAACUUUCAAACAAGUUCCGGUUCAAACUGCGAG